UAAUGUUUGAUGUUCUAACGUGGACCCGUUACCCGGGUUGCGGACAGUGUCUGGUGGGUAGUUUGACUGGGGCGGUCUCCUCCUAAAGAGUAACGGAGGAGCACGAAGGUUGGCUAAUCCUGGUCGGACAUCAGGAGGUUAGUGCAAUGGCAUAAGCCAGCUUGACUGCGAGCGUGACGGCGCGAGCAGGUGCGAAAGCAGGUCAUAGUGAUCCGGUGGUUCUGAAUGGAAGGGCCAUCGCUCAACGGAUAAAAGGUACUCCGGGGAUAACAGGCUGAUACCGCCCAAGAGUUCAUAUCGACGGCGGUGUUUGGCACCUCGAUGUCGGCUCAUCACAUCCUGGGGCUGAAGUAGGUCCCAAGGGUAUGGCUGUUCGCCAUUUAAAGUGGUACGCGAGCUGGGUUUAGAACGUCGUGAGACAGUUCGGUCCCUAUCUGCCGUGGGCGCUGGAGAACUGAGGGGGGCUGCUCCUAGUACGAGAGGACCGGAGUGGACGCAUCACUGGUGUUCGGGUUGUCAUGCCAAUGGCACUGCCCGGUAGCUAAAUGCGGAAGAGAUAAGUGCUGAAAGCAUCUAAGCACGAAACUUGCCCCGAGAUGAGUUCUCCCUGAGACUUAGAGUCUCCUGAAGGAACGUUGAAGACGACGACGUUGAUAGGCCGGGUGUGUAAGCGCAGCGAUGCGUUGAGCUAACCGGUACUAAUGAACCGUGAGGCUUAACCUUACAACGCCGAAG
Molecule: ribosomal RNA, 735 nt
Filed under: Salmonella enterica
Lineage: Bacteria; Pseudomonadati; Pseudomonadota; Gammaproteobacteria; Enterobacterales; Enterobacteriaceae
Description: partial 23S ribosomal RNA
Rfam family: Bacterial large subunit ribosomal RNA
Source: RNAcentral